UCCGGCUUGUCACCGGGAGUCUUGUUAGAGUGCCCAACUGAAUGAUGGCAACUAACAACAGGGGUUGCGCUCGUUGCCGGACUUAACCGAACAUCUCACGACACGAGCUGACGACAGCCAUGCAGCACCUGUCACCAGGUUCCUCCGUGAGGAGGCACCUCCCACUUUCAUGGGAGUUCCUGGGAUGUCAAGGCCAGGUAAGGUUCUUCGCGUUGCGUCGAAUUAAAUCACAUACUCCACCGCUUGUGCGGGCCCCCGUCAAUUUCUUUGAGUUUUAGCCUUGCGGCCGUACUCCCCAGGCGGGGUGCUUAAUGCGUUAGCUUCGGCACGGGGGGAGUCGACACCCCCCACACCUAGCACCCAUCGUUUACG
Molecule: unclassified non-coding RNA, 372 nt
Filed under: uncultured Pseudobdellovibrionaceae bacterium
Lineage: Bacteria; Pseudomonadati; Bdellovibrionota; Bdellovibrionia; Bdellovibrionales; Pseudobdellovibrionaceae
Description: uncultured Bdellovibrionaceae bacterium contains 16S-23S intergenic spacer region
Source: RNAcentral